This 460-nucleotide ribosomal RNA is filed under the name uncultured bacterium. Its description in RNAcentral is "partial 16S ribosomal RNA". It matches the Rfam family "Bacterial small subunit ribosomal RNA", at positions 338 to 795 of the family's 1533-position model. The record is from RNAcentral.
CCUACGGGAGGCAGCAGUGAGGAAUAUUGGUCAAUGGGCGCAAGCCUGAACCAGCCAAGUCGCGUGAGGGAUGACGGUCCUAUGGAUUGUAAACCUCUUUUGUCGGGGAGCAAGGCCCGCCACGUGUGGCGGGAUGGAGCGUACCCGAAGAAAAAGCAUCGGCAAACUCCGUGCCAGCAGCCGCGGGAAUACGGGGGUUGCGGGCGUUAUCCGGUUUUAUUGGGUUAAAAGGAUGCGUAGGCGGAAGGUUAAGGCAGCGGGAAAAUGUCGGGGCUAAACACCGGCCUGCCGUUGAAACUGUUUUUCUUGAGUACUGGAGAGGCAGACGGAAUUCCUAGUGUAGCGGUGAAAUGCGUAGAUAUUAGGAGGAACACCAGUGGCGAAGGCGGUCUGCUGGACAGCAACUGACGCUGAGGCGCGAAAGCGUGGGGAGCAAACAGGAUUAGAUACCCUUGUAGUC